GACGAACGCUGGCGGCGUGCCUAAUACAUGCAAGUUGAGCGCUGAAGGUUGGUACUUGUACCGACUGGAUGAGCAGCGAACGGGUGAGUAACGCGUGGGGAAUCUGCCUUUGAGCGGGGGACAACAUUUGGAAACGAAUGCUAAUACCGCAUAAAAACUUUAAACACAAGUUUGAAGUUUGAAAGAUGCAAUUGCAUCACUCAAAGAUGAUCCCGCGUUGUAUUAGCUAGUUGGUGAGGUAAAGGCUCACCAAGGCGAUGAUACAUAGCCGACCUGAGAGGGUGGUCGGCCACAUUGGGACUGAGACACGGCCCAAACUCCUACGGGAGGCAGCAGUAGGGAAUCUUCGGCAAUAGACGAAAGUCUGACCGAGCAACGCCGCGUGAGUGAAGAAGGUUUUCGGAUCGUAAAACUCUGUUGGUAGAGAAGAACGUUGGUGAGAGUGGAAAGCUCAUCAAGUGACGGUAACUACCCAGAAAGGGACGGCUAACUACGUG
Molecule: ribosomal RNA, 497 nt
Filed under: uncultured bacterium
Lineage: Bacteria
Description: partial 16S ribosomal RNA
Rfam family: Bacterial small subunit ribosomal RNA
Source: RNAcentral